Molecule: transfer RNA, 88 nt
Filed under: Heterobasidion irregulare TC 32-1
Lineage: Eukaryota; Fungi; Basidiomycota; Agaricomycetes; Russulales; Bondarzewiaceae
Rfam family: tRNA
About the family: Transfer RNA (tRNA) molecules are approximately 80 nucleotides in length. Their secondary structure includes four short double-helical elements and three loops (D, anti-codon, and T loops).
Source: Rfam by way of RNAcentral
GGUCCCUUAGCUCAGUGGUAGAGCGUGUGAUUCCAGAAUUGCAAUCUAUAUUUCCACAAGGUCGUCGGCUCGACUCCGGCAGGGAUCA